Molecule: ribosomal RNA, 486 nt
Filed under: uncultured Novosphingobium sp.
Lineage: Bacteria; Pseudomonadati; Pseudomonadota; Alphaproteobacteria; Sphingomonadales; Sphingomonadaceae
Description: bacterial SSU rRNA
Rfam family: Bacterial small subunit ribosomal RNA
Source: RNAcentral
CCCUUCGGUUCGGAAUAACACAGAGAAAUUUGUGCUAAUACCGGAUGAUGUCUUCGGACCAAAGAUUUAUCGCCGAAGGAUGAGCCCGCGUAGGAUUAGGUAGUUGGUGGGGUAAUGGCUCACCAAGCCGACGAUCCUUAGCUGGUCUGAGAGGAUGAUCAGCCACACUGGGACUGAGACACGGCCCAGACUCCUACGGGAGGCAGCAGUGGGGAAUAUUGGACAAUGGGCGAAAGCCUGAUCCAGCAAUGCCGCGUGAGUGAUGAAGGCCUUAGGGUUGUAAAGCUCUUUUACCAGGGAUGAUAAUGACAGUACCUGGAGAAUAAGCUCCGGCUAACUCCGUGCCAGCAGCCGCGGUAAUACGGAGGGAGCUAGCGUUGUUCGGAAUUACUGGGCGUAAAGCGCGCGUAGGCGGCUAUUCAAGUCGGGGGUGAAAGCCCGGGGCUCAACCCCGGAACUGCCCUCGAAACUAGGUAGCUAGAAUCU